CAACUCCUGGAGAUGUUUGGACAAAUACAACUGAGUCUCCGAUUUCAGUUUAUAUGCGUUAUCUUCAAAAUUCAAUAAUAGAUUCAGGGCCUAAACAAACACAAUUUCAAGGACCUGGUCAUUUUCAAGCACAUCCAGCGUCAUCUGGUUUACUUCCUAAUCCUUCAAUGCCACCUUUUCCAUCUCCUAGAAUGAAUGGCCCGCCUCCUUUCCCAUUGUCGCGGAUGAAUGGUCCUCCUCCACCUCUU
This 248-nucleotide unclassified non-coding RNA is filed under the name Hevea brasiliensis (rubber tree). The record is from RNAcentral. Lineage: Eukaryota; Viridiplantae; Streptophyta; Magnoliopsida; Malpighiales; Euphorbiaceae.